UCUGAAAGGGAUAACACAAACAUAAUAUGCUUUAUGUGGGCAAUCAUAACAGCUUGCAGAUAUUACACGCGAGUGGCUCAUAUGAUAAUCUUUGUGGACUCGCCAAAUAUGGCUGGUAUUAUAUUUCUUGCAAUUGAAAACGACAAUACAUGGGACAAAUAAUUGACUGCGGAAAUAAAGAAACCUGGUGACUAAGAUAGAUUUAUUGCCAGUGUAAAAAGGCUUGAAUUAUCAGCAAUGACAAAAAAGCCUAUUUAUUGGUUUCAAAAAUAAAUACUGUUUCACAAUAGGACAAUAUUAUGAAUUGAAAA
Long non-coding RNA from Manduca sexta (tobacco hornworm), 311 nucleotides. RefSeq lists it as uncharacterized. NCBI's taxonomy places the organism in Eukaryota, Metazoa, Arthropoda, Insecta, Lepidoptera, Sphingidae. The record is from RefSeq and is a predicted model, not a curated record. The transcript has 2 exons.